CCUACGGGAGGCAGCAGUGAGGAAUAUUGGUCAAUGGACGAGAGUCUGAACCAGCCAAGUAGCGUGAAGGAUGACUGCCCUAUGGGUUGUAAACUUCUUUUAUAUGGGAAUAAAACGUUCCACGUGUGGGAUUUUGUAUGUACCAUAUGAAUAAGGAUCGGCUAACUCCGUGCCAGCAGCCGCGGUAAUACGGAUGGUCCGAGCGUUAUCCGGAUUUAUUGGGUUUAAAGGGAGCGUAGGUGGAUUGUUAAGUCAGUUGUGAAAGUUUGCGGCUCAACCGUAAAAUUGCAGUUGAAACUGGCAGUCUUGAGUACAGUAGAGGUGGGCGGAAUUCGUGGUGUAGCGGUGAAAUGCUUAGAUAUCACGAAGAACUCCGAUUGCGAAGGCAGUUCACUGGACUGCAACUGACACUGAGGCUCGAAAGUGUGGGUAUCAAACAGGAUUAGAUACCCGUGUAGUC
Molecule: ribosomal RNA, 460 nt
Filed under: uncultured bacterium
Lineage: Bacteria
Description: partial 16S ribosomal RNA
Rfam family: Bacterial small subunit ribosomal RNA
Source: RNAcentral